Camellia sinensis is the source of this 338-nucleotide non-coding RNA. Lineage: Eukaryota; Viridiplantae; Streptophyta; Magnoliopsida; Ericales; Theaceae. The record is from RefSeq and is a predicted model, not a curated record.
GUGUUUUUUAGAUUCUUUGUUAUCUUAAUUAAUUGAUGUGUAGUGAAAUUUGUAGGAACCAAAAGAGUAUUGAGCUCCUGAUCUUGAAGCUUCCAUUCAAGAGGCUUGUCCAUGAAAUUGCUCAGGACUUCAAGGUUACUCUAAUCUGUGUUGGGAAAGAAGUCUCAUGGACAACAACUUUGUUCUGGCCAGCUGGAGCCUUCGGGGAGUGAUGGAGACACAAAGACCAGGUUGCACUGUUGCGCCAGUCUAAGUGGAAAAUCUCUAAAUGGAAAAUACUUUGUCUUUCGUUUAAAUAUUGUAAUAGUUCCUUUCUUUUUGAUUGUAUUGAGUCUAUA